This is a long non-coding RNA of Neogale vison (American mink), 235 nucleotides long. RefSeq lists it as uncharacterized. The transcript has 3 exons. NCBI's taxonomy places the organism in Eukaryota, Metazoa, Chordata, Mammalia, Carnivora, Mustelidae. The record is from RefSeq and is a predicted model, not a curated record.
CAGGAGAAGAGGCAUUGAAAGAAGGUGGCUUACAGUAGAAUUUGAGGAAACUUCCCCAAAAGUGUCAUCUUGGUGCCUCUUGGAGAUCUGACCCUGGCCACCCACCAGUCUCUUCAGCAGCAGGCACUCAGGACCAUGCUAGAAGCUUGCCUUGAAGUUGCUUGUGAACAUCUCUCAAUACUUGUCCAAGACUGGCAGAUGAUAGAAUCUUCUUUGCAAAAGAUGGCAGAGUUCC